Molecule: transfer RNA, 63 nt
Filed under: Tuxedo cruralis
Lineage: Eukaryota; Metazoa; Arthropoda; Insecta; Hemiptera; Miridae
Description: tRNA-His
Source: RNAcentral
UUUGAGUAGUUUAAAAAAAGAAUUAUAAUUUGUGGUGUUAUAGGUGGAUUUAUCCCUCAGAUC